This 1020-nucleotide long non-coding RNA is filed under the name Physcomitrium patens. RNAcentral's name for it is "long non-coding RNA (PPAT_LNC013533)". The record is from RNAcentral. Lineage: Eukaryota; Viridiplantae; Streptophyta; Bryopsida; Funariales; Funariaceae.
GUGUUGUUCAUGGAACAGGAAACAUAAAAAUCAUCCAUUUUAUUUAUUUAUUUAUUUAUUAUUGUUAUUAUUAAUGUUGUUCUCUAAGGUAUUCUUGAUGACCCAAAUCAUCACCAGAAGCUGUGGAUGUUGAGGAUGCACCCUCUUGGCUUUUGUGGGAGGGAGUGCUUUGAGUCUUGUGCUGCCAGCUACAACUGACCCAUUUUAUUUAUUUAUUCGUUUGUUUAUUUAUUUUGAAAGGGGCUUGGGGAGCUCUAAAUCAAAAUCUCAGCCAUUUGUCAAUAAGGACCCUUACGUCAUUUGCAAUAAUAGAAGUCAGAGUGGUUCUGUGUGUGUGAUAAUAAAUAAGUGAACAAACAAAAUAAGUAUCAGUCCACUUUUGCAAGUUUACUUUACCCACUGUUGUUUCAUUUUGGUUCAUGUAGCAUUUAGAAGGAAAUAUGUGAAGAGGAUAAACCCUAAAACAAUCAAAACAUAUUGCAUGUUGUCAACUCCAAUUUGAUUCUGAAGGGUUCGUACUAUAAUAUAUCCUCUUAGGUUUAUGGGGAACAAGAGAAUCAGAGUUGUGGGGAACAAGAGAAUCAGAGUUGUCUAAGUAGAAUUCUUUGGGAAUAAGCCAUUGUUGCAAUUGGGGUCGGGGUUUCCAACAUGUUGGAGCACCUGUCUACUUGGCUUGAGAGGAAAAAGAGAAAGGAGAGGGAAAGGUAAAGAUAAAGGAUACCUAACUCUUUCUCGUGGCUUGCUUCCUAGUUUUACCUGUUGGGAACAAGUCUCCUAUUCCAGAUGAUAUGUCUUGCAUGAAGAAGGCCAAAAGACAUGAUGGUCAGGGCAGUUGGGUUACUGAUUACCUUGUUGUGAAGGACAUAAGCAUCAAUAAAAUAGUUUCUGAUACAGACUUGAUUGAAACAACUUGCCGCCUGACACUAAUCCCACACCUAAGUGGUGGAAGACUUAGGUAUACCAUGAAGCUCCAGUCGUCUUAUCUUGAAUAUAUGAAUAUAUACAUAUAUAUAUAUAUAU